GGACUUUCUUAAGCAUAACUGGCCUUUCCCAGCCUAGGUGUCAUAAAGACUGUGAUGAAAUGACUCCUGCUUUUACCAAGAAUGUCACAAAUGUCCAGGCAAAUUGGCAGUCCCCAUUAGACAGAACAUCUCUGUGCUUCAAUUUCUGUGCUAGUUGGACAUAAAGGCUGUGACUCUUGGGUGGAAUAUUCCCAAUGACAAGAAAUGAAGCUGUAUGCAUACUUUCCCCAACCAGAUGACCCAAGCUUAAUUCCCAGGACCCACAUCAAGUGACUCACAAACAUCUGUAACUCCAGCUCCAGGGAAUCUAACAUCCUCUUCUGGCUUCCGUAAGCACUGUAUGCACAUUGUACACAUAUAGACAAGCAGGCAUGCAUGUGUAUAAACAAAUAAAUUUCAAGUGUAUCUGAGCAAAA
This is a long non-coding RNA of Peromyscus eremicus (cactus mouse), 416 nucleotides long. RefSeq lists it as uncharacterized. The record is from RefSeq and is a predicted model, not a curated record. The transcript is spliced from 2 exons. Lineage: Eukaryota; Metazoa; Chordata; Mammalia; Rodentia; Cricetidae.